Molecule: ribosomal RNA, 292 nt
Filed under: uncultured bacterium
Lineage: Bacteria
Description: partial 16S ribosomal RNA
Rfam family: Bacterial small subunit ribosomal RNA
Source: RNAcentral
GUGUCAGCAGCCGCGGUAAGACGGAGGGUGCUAGCGUUGUUCGGAAUUACUGGGCGUAAAGGGCGCGUAGGCGGCCUGAUCAGUCGGGUGUGAAAGCCCGGGGCUCAACCCCGGAACGGCACCCGAGACGGUCAGGCUGGAGACCGGGAGAGGAGGGUGGAAUAGCCAGUGUAGAGGUGAAAUUCGUAGAUAUUGGCUGGAACACCGGUGGCGAAAGCGGCUCUCUGGCCCGGUUCUGACGCUGAGGCGCGAAAGCGUGGGGAGCAAACAGGAUUAGAUACCCCCGUAGUCC